UCCGUCAUGAUAGUAUGGUGGCUAGUAUCCCCGCAGUCCUGCGGGAGACCAGGGUUCGAUUUCCCGUGACGGAG
Seminavis robusta is the source of this 74-nucleotide non-coding RNA. Lineage: Eukaryota; Bacillariophyta; Bacillariophyceae; Naviculales; Naviculaceae. The record is from the annotation of a GenBank genome assembly.